RNAcentral lists this transfer RNA (72 nucleotides) under Rattus norvegicus (Norway rat). It matches the Rfam family "tRNA". From Rfam's summary of the family: Transfer RNA (tRNA) molecules are approximately 80 nucleotides in length. Their secondary structure includes four short double-helical elements and three loops (D, anti-codon, and T loops). The record is from Rfam by way of RNAcentral. Lineage: Eukaryota; Metazoa; Chordata; Mammalia; Rodentia; Muridae.
GGAGAAAUAGCUCAGCAGUUCAGAGCACUGACUGUUUUCCAGAGGACCUGGGUUCAAUUUCCGGUCUCGCUC